GGCGAGCGCUGGCGGCGUGCUUAACACAUGCAAGUCGAACGGUGAAGCGAGUGCUUGCACUCGUGGAUCAGUGGCGAACGGGUGAGUAACACGUGAGUAACCUGCCCAUCACUCUGGGAUAAGCACUGGAAACGGUGUCUAAUACUGGAUACGACCAACCCUUGCAUGGGGUGUUGGUGGAAAGAUUUAUCGGUGAUGGAUGGACUCGCGGCCUAUCAGCUUGUUGGCGGGGUAAUGGCCCACCAAGGCGACGACGGGUAGCCGGCCUGAGAGGGUGACCGGCCACACUGGGACUGGGACACGGCCCAGACUCCUACGGGAGGCAGCAGUGGGGAAUAUUGCACAAUGGGCGAAAGCCUGAUGCAGCGACGCCGCGUGAGGGAUGACGGCCUUCGGGUUGUAAACCUCUUUCAGCAGGGAAGAAGCGAAAGUGACGGUACCUGCAGAAGAAGCACCGGCUAACUACGUG
This 469-nucleotide ribosomal RNA is filed under the name uncultured bacterium. RNAcentral describes it as "partial 16S ribosomal RNA". It matches the Rfam family "Bacterial small subunit ribosomal RNA", at positions 28 to 507 of the family's 1533-position model. The record is from RNAcentral.